This 468-nucleotide ribosomal RNA is filed under the name uncultured bacterium. Its description in RNAcentral is "partial 16S ribosomal RNA". It matches the Rfam family "Bacterial small subunit ribosomal RNA", at positions 28 to 507 of the family's 1533-position model. The record is from RNAcentral.
GACGAACGCUGGCGGCGUGCUUAACACAUGCAAGUCGAACGGAAAGGCCCUGCUUUUGUGGGGUGCUCGAGUGGCGAACGGGUGAGUAACACGUGAGUAACCUGCCCUUGACUUUGGGAUAACUUCAGGAAACUGGGGCUAAUACCGGAUAGGAGCUCCUGCUGCAUGGUGGGGGUUGGAAAGUUUCGGCGGUUGGGGAUGGACGCGCGGCUUAUCAGCUUGUUGGUGGGGUAGUGGCUUACCAAGGCUUUGACGGGUAGCCGGCCUGAGAGGGUGACCGGCCACAUUGGGACUGAGAUACGGCCCAGACUCCUACGGGAGGCAGCGGUGGGGAAGAGUGCACAAUGGGCGGAGGCCUGAUGCAGCAACGCCGCGUGCGGGAUGACGGCCUUCGGGUUGUAAACCGCUUUCGCCUGUGACGAAGCGUGAGUGACGGUAAUGGGUAAAGAAGCACCGGCUAACUACGUG